GCAGCAGUGGGGAAUAUUGCACAAUGGGGGAAACCCUGAUGCAGCCAUGCCGCGUGUGUGAAGAAGGCCUUCGGGUUGUAAAGCACUUUCAGCGGGGAGGAAGGCGGUGGCGUUAAUAGCGCUAUCGAUUGACGUUACCCGCAGAAGAAGCACCGGCUAACUCCGUGCCAGCAGCCGCGGUAAUACGGAGGGUGCGAGCGUUAAUCGGAAUUACUGGGCGUAAAGCGUACGCAGGCGGUCUGUUAAGUCAGAUGUGAAAUCCCCGGGCUCAACCUGGGAACUGCAUUUGAAACUGGCAGGCUAGAGUCUCGUAGAGGGGGGUAGAAUUCCAGGUGUAGCGGUGAAAUGCGUAGAGAUCUGGAGGAAUACCGGUGGCGAAGGCGGCCCCCUGGACGAAGACUGACGCUCAGGUACGAAAGCGUGGGGAGCAAACCGGAUUAGAUACCCCGGUAGUCCAA
Molecule: ribosomal RNA, 458 nt
Filed under: Sodalis praecaptivus
Lineage: Bacteria; Pseudomonadati; Pseudomonadota; Gammaproteobacteria; Enterobacterales; Bruguierivoracaceae
Description: bacterial SSU rRNA
Rfam family: Bacterial small subunit ribosomal RNA
Source: RNAcentral